CCUACGGGUGGCAGCAGUGAGGAAUAUUGGUCAAUGGACGCAAGUCUGAACCAGCCAUGCCGCGUGCAGGAAGACGGCUCUAUGAGUUGUAAACUGCUUUUGUACGAGGGUAAACGCAGAUACGCGUAUCUGUCUGAAAGUAUCGUACGAAUAAGGAUCGGCUAACUCCGUGCCAGCAGCCGCGGUAAGACGGAGGAUUCAAGCGUUAUCCGGAUUUAUUGGGUUUAAAGGGUGCGUAGGCGGUCGGAUAAGUUAGAGGUGAAAUUCCGUGGCUCAACUUCGGAAUUGCUUCUGAUACUGUUCGGCUAGAGAGUAGUUGCGGUAGGCGGAAUGUAUGGUGUAGCGGUGAAAUGCUUAGAGAUCAUACAGAACACCGAUUGCGAAGGCAGCUUACCAAGCUACUUCUGACGUUGAGGCACGAAAGCGUGGGGAGCAAACAGGAUUAGAUACCCUAGUAGUC
This 460-nucleotide ribosomal RNA is filed under the name uncultured bacterium. RNAcentral's name for it is "partial 16S ribosomal RNA". It matches the Rfam family "Bacterial small subunit ribosomal RNA", at positions 338 to 795 of the family's 1533-position model. The record is from RNAcentral.